UAGCUUAAAGAUAUAACAUUGACUCUAAACAGGUAAGUAAGUGUUUGGGCAGCGGGUUACAUUCAUGUGGUUAUAUAAACAAACAAAGGGUACAGGCUCAAACGGGAUUAACAAAGGAUAAUAUUAAAGGGAUGGCUAGAAAGACUCAUGUCUAUUAUUCAAACAACGUGCCUCAAUGUGUGUAUAUAUACAAUGAUAUUCCCAGAGAACCUACGCAAAGUCAGAGUGAU
Molecule: long non-coding RNA, 230 nt
Filed under: Lathyrus oleraceus (garden pea)
Lineage: Eukaryota; Viridiplantae; Streptophyta; Magnoliopsida; Fabales; Fabaceae
Description: Pisum sativum (pea) long non-coding RNA (PSAT_LNC027379)
Source: RNAcentral